GCCACUUGUGGCACAAUGGGGCAGUGCAUCUGGCUGUUAACCAGAAGGUUGGUGGUUUGAGCCCAUGCACAGAUGGCU
Podarcis lilfordi (Lilford's wall lizard) is the source of this 78-nucleotide non-coding RNA. The record is from the annotation of a GenBank genome assembly. NCBI's taxonomy places the organism in Eukaryota, Metazoa, Chordata, Lepidosauria, Squamata, Lacertidae.